ACUUUUAUAGGAUAGGAGCAAUCCAUUGGUCUUAGGAACCAAAAAAUCGGUGCAACUCCGAAUGAAAGUA
RNAcentral lists this transfer RNA (70 nucleotides) under Vulpes chama (Cape fox). RNAcentral describes it as "tRNA-Leu". It matches the Rfam family "tRNA". From Rfam's summary of the family: Transfer RNA (tRNA) molecules are approximately 80 nucleotides in length. Lineage: Eukaryota; Metazoa; Chordata; Mammalia; Carnivora; Canidae. The record is from RNAcentral.